UGUGGUGACAUUCCGUCAUCAAACUAAUAUGGUGACCAGGGAUCAUGUAUGCCUUUCUUACAGUGGGAUAAGCUUUACCUUUUGAUAUGGUAAUUGGGUAAUUCAAUACCUUUACAAGUCAGGAAAGAGGUUACCACUUCCCCCUAUCUCCAUUCCUCUCUGUUCCUUCUUGGCUGUGCUACUGAGCAGUCCCUUAAGCAGACAUGGCCUAAUUUCUAUCAUGGUGAACUGUGAGUGGG
Non-coding RNA from Pelobates cultripes (western spadefoot toad), 239 nucleotides. NCBI's taxonomy places the organism in Eukaryota, Metazoa, Chordata, Amphibia, Anura, Pelobatidae. The record is from the annotation of a GenBank genome assembly.